Molecule: long non-coding RNA, 585 nt
Organism: Scophthalmus maximus (turbot)
Lineage: Eukaryota; Metazoa; Chordata; Actinopteri; Pleuronectiformes; Scophthalmidae
Exons: 2
Source: RefSeq, a predicted model, not a curated record
UCAUCGGCGGGGGCAGAAACUGAGACACACGUCGGAUCAAAGUUAACGACCGAGUCGUGUCGGUGUGGUAGCGACGCUCAGGGGACAAACGAGCCCUGGUCCCGGUCCCGGUCCCGGUCCCGACAGGCGGCGUCGUGAGCUCGCGGGCCCUUACGGCUGCUUACCCUUGUCGAUGUUCGCCAUUUUGGAUUGAGCCGCUCUGCUCUGUCCUCAGUUGCCUUCACGUCCGGCGUCAUUUACAUAAUUCUGACGGUCGAAGUAAAAGAGAGAGAAAGAGGGGGGGACUCACUGGGCCCAGGUGUGGCCCCACGCUGCUGACGAAGCUCCCUAAUUGGUCUGCAGCCCUGUGAGACAGGAAGCAACAGCAGCAGCACGGUGAACCACGCAGAAGGGGUUGUCGUCACAAAUGUUUAUAACUGAGGUAAAUGUACCUCAAAUCAGGAAAUUCUGUCUGUGAGGUGGAGGCUGCUCUGUGGUGACGCUGUCACAAAAAGGAGGAAAAGGCAUCAAAUCAAAACUAAAGGGUAAAGGGAAUUCUGAAGUAGUUGAAAGAAUGAAUUACCUUCAAUAAAUAUGAUAAAUCCA